Molecule: ribosomal RNA, 880 nt
Filed under: Bolbitius titubans
Lineage: Eukaryota; Fungi; Basidiomycota; Agaricomycetes; Agaricales; Bolbitiaceae
Description: eukaryotic LSU rRNA
Rfam family: Eukaryotic large subunit ribosomal RNA
Source: RNAcentral
CAAGGAUUCCCCUAGUAACUGCGAGUGAAGCGGGAAAAGCUCAAAUUUAAAAUCUGGCAGUCUUUGAUUGUCCGAGUUGUAAACUAGAGAAGUGUUAUCCGCGCUGGACCGUGUAAAAGUCUCCUGGAAUGGAGCAUCAUAGAGGGUGAGAAUCCCGUCUUUGACAUGGACUACCAGUGCUUUGUGAUGCGCUCUCAAAGAGUCGAGUUGUUUGGGAAUGCAGCUCAAAAUGGGUGGUAAAUUCCAUCUAAAGCUAAAUAUUGGCGAGAGACCGAUAGCGAACAAGUACCGUGAGGGAAAGAUGAAAAGAACUUUGGAAAGAGAGUUAAACAGUACGUGAAAUUGCUGAAAGGGAAACGCUUGAAGUCAGUCGCGUCGGCCAGGAAUCAACCUUGCUUUUGCUGGGCGUACUUUCUGGUUGACGGGUCAGCAUCAAUUUUGACUGCUGGAAAAAGUUCAAGGGAAUGUGGCAUCUUCGGAUGUGUUAUAGCCCUUGUUCGCAUACAGCAGUUGGGAUUGAGGUACUCAGCACGCCGCAAGGCCGGGUUUCGACCACGUUCGUGCUUAGGAUGCUGGCAUAAUGGCUUUAAUCGACCCGUCUUGAAACACGGACCAAGGAGUCUAACAUGCCUGCGAGUGUUUGGGUGGAAAACCCAAGCGCGCAAUGAAAGUAAAAGUUGAGAUCCCUGUCAUGGGGAGCAUCGACGCCCGGACCAGAGCUUUUGUGACGGAUCUGCGGUAGAGCAUGUAUGUUGGGACCCGAAAGAUGGUGAACUAUGCCUGAAUAGGGUGAAGCCAGAGGAAACUCUGGUGGAGGCUCGUAGCGAUUCUGACGUGCAAAUCGAUCGUCAAAUUUGGGUAUAGGGGCGAAAGACUAAUC